This 388-nucleotide ribosomal RNA is filed under the name Trichaptum sp. Its description in RNAcentral is "partial small subunit ribosomal RNA". It matches the Rfam family "Eukaryotic small subunit ribosomal RNA", at positions 582 to 975 of the family's 1831-position model. The record is from RNAcentral. Lineage: Eukaryota; Fungi; Basidiomycota; Agaricomycetes; Hymenochaetales; Trichaptaceae.
AUUCCAGCUCCAAUAGCGUAUAUUAAAGUUGUUGCAGUUAAAAAGCUCGUAGUUGAACUUCAGACCUGGCCGGGCGGUCUGCCUCACGGUAUGUACUGUUUGGCCGGGUCUUACCUCUUGGUGAGCCGGCAUGCCCUUCACUGGGUGUGUCGGGGAACCAGGACCUUUACCUUGAGAAAAUUAGAGUGUUCAAAGCAGGCCUAUGCCCGAAUACAUUAGCAUGGAAUAAUAAAAUAGGACGUGCGGUUCUAUUUUGUUGGUUUCUAGAGUCGCCGUAAUGAUUAAUAGGGAUAGUUGGGGGCAUUAGUAUUCAGUUGCUAGAGGUGAAAUUCUUGGAUUUACUGAAGACUAACUAUUGCGAAAGCAUUUGCCAAGGAUGUUUUCAUUG